Pelodiscus sinensis (Chinese soft-shelled turtle) is the source of this 1655-nucleotide non-coding RNA. NCBI's taxonomy places the organism in Eukaryota, Metazoa, Chordata, Testudines, Trionychidae. The record is from RefSeq and is a predicted model, not a curated record.
GGGGAAGAGUGGUCGCCCACUGACCCCGAGGGGGAGGAGCCCCUCCCUGAGCCUUGGUGGGCAGCACCUGGCCUUAGCGACCCACCUGACCAGAAACCAGGAGGCAGGCUGGGGAUAUAAAAGGCCUGUAGAGAGGCCAGUGAGGGUCUAGCGACCAAAGGAGCCAGAAGUCUCCCCUGUGCACCCAAAGGAGGAGUUGAACCCAGGGGAAGCCAAGGACUGGCCUAGGCUGCCGGGCCCACGAUUGCGUGGCUGCUGGGAAGGACUGCUUACUGGGCCAGAGGUUCCCGAGUGACAAAGCCCAGAGGACUUGCACUGGAUCCAGGAUAUACAUGUCCACAGGAUAUACAAGUUUAUUUUUACUCGCCUGUGCUGUGGUCUCCAUCCCCCCAACCCGGAGAAGGGUGGGUUGCGCCUGGCUGCAGCUGCCACUCUGGGUGCGAAUGCGGCUCACCUCCUACAGGCCGGCCUGCUCGCCUGUGCUUUGCUCUACAUUCCCCCCGCUGGCAGCAGUCUCUCCAACAGAUGUCUCCUACUUCCAUAGAAACUGAGCCAUAGACUGACAUAGCAGUUGUGAAGCAUUUCAGCUCCACUCUACACUGAGCUGUGUUGGGCUUUGGUGACUACUCUACCAGUGACUUCCAAUGGUGAAUCUUAUACCAGACUAUGUAUUGCCAAGAGGCAAAGUUUCAAACAGACACAACUUACCCCUACAUAUUUUGGAAAUCAACACCGUAUGAGUUUAUAAAAGAGAGAAGUAAAGGAGGAGCAGUUCAUAAGAUCUGUCUUGCUUUGUACUGAGUUCAAAUCCACCUCAACUGACACCACCGAAAGGAAGAAAUGAGUCUGUAAUCUCCGAAUGGGAUUUUGCAUUGCUGCCAUUAGUUGCAAAACUGCCAUUUGCUUCAGUGGGAGUAGAACUGGGCCCAAGGACUGGGUGUUUGGCUUGACCAUAUGCUACUCAUUGCAAUAUUGAGUUCUGAACAGAUUAACUGUGUAUUCUACUUAAUUAAAUGUGAUAACAAUAUUUACUGUAAAUAGUGCUCACGUAAUAUUUUAGAGAAAAGCAUGGCACAUAUAUUAACUAAAUAAGCCUUUAAGCAGUGGGUAAAUGUGAGUAUCCCCAUGUUACAGACAAAGAAAAAGACACAGAAAAGAAACAGUGCCCUGCCAAGAACAUGCAGAAGUCAAUGACAGACCCAGGAUCCCAGGUGCUUCUGGUUCCCAGACCUGCACUCAGGCCACCACACAAUUAAAACAGAGCCUAUAAGUAUGUUUGCUAGCUGUAUGUAGCCAAGCUUGCCCUAGGACAGGGAUGCCUGGCUGCACCCCCAUAAGGGCUAUGUCCUGCAGCUUGCAGCAUGCCAUAGAGAAUGAUAGUGAUUAGCAGUUGUCCUAUUUUAGCAAUAUCAUUUGAAAUUGCAUUUCUCAGCCAUGGCACUUGACAUUAUUAAAGAGCCUCAAAAUUUGCUGUUCCACAGAACUUAAUAUCUGGGCAUUCACUUCUUGCCACCCUCUCAUCAAUUUUAGUUAGCAGUACAAUGACCCACAAUGUCUGCUAUGUACAUUGGACAAAUGUCUCAGACACUUCACCAAAGGAUCAAUGCCCACAAAACAGAUAUCAGACAGGAUCACAAAGAAAAAACAGUUGCUUG